Small nuclear RNA from Bison bison bison, 118 nucleotides. Its record names the gene U2. It matches the Rfam family "U2 spliceosomal RNA". From Rfam's summary of the family: U2 is a small nuclear RNA (snRNA) component of the spliceosome (involved in pre-mRNA splicing). The record is from Ensembl. NCBI's taxonomy places the organism in Eukaryota, Metazoa, Chordata, Mammalia, Artiodactyla, Bovidae.
AUCACUUCUCAGCCUCUUGGCUAAGAUCAAGCGUAGUGUCUGUUCUUACCAGUUUAAUAAAUCUCACUGGGCAGUGAGGACACCGCCCUACCCGCACAGUCCCAGUUGGAGACCCCCU